GAUUAGAUACCCUGGUAGUCCACACGGUAAACGAUGAAUACUCGCUGUUUGCGAUAUACUGCAAGCGGCCAAGCGAAAGCGUUAAGUAUUCCACCUGGGGAGUACGCCGGCAACGGUGAAACUCAAAGGAAUUGACGGGGGCCCGCACAAGCGGAGGAACAUGUGGUUUAAUUCGAUGAUACGCGAGGAACCUUACCCGGGCUUAAAUUGCAGAUGAAUUACGGUGAAAGCCGUAAGCCGCAAGGCAUCUGUGAAGGUGCCGCAUGGUUGUCGUCAGCUCGUGCCGUGAGGUGUCGGUUUAAGUGCCAUAACGAGCGCAACCCUUGUUGUCAGUUACUAACAGGUUUUGCUGAGGACUCUGACAAGUCUGCCAUCGUAAGAUGUGAGGAAGGUGGGGAUGACGUUAAAUCAGCACGGCCCUUUCGUCCGGGGGUACACACGUGUUACAAUGGGGGGUACAGAGGGCCGCUACCACGUGAGUGGAUGCCAAUCCCCAAAACCUCUCUCAGUUCGGAGUGGAGUCUGCAACCCGACUCCACGAAGCUGGAUUCGAUAGUAAUCGCGCAUCAGCCACGGCGCGGUGAAUACGUUCCCGGGCCUUGUACACACCGCCCGUCAAGCCAUGGGAGCCGGGGGUACCUGAAGUGGGUAACCGCGAGGAGCGCCCUAGGGUAAAACUGGUGA
This 684-nucleotide ribosomal RNA is filed under the name uncultured organism. Its description in RNAcentral is "SSU rRNA". It matches the Rfam family "Bacterial small subunit ribosomal RNA", at positions 776 to 1474 of the family's 1533-position model. The record is from RNAcentral.